RNAcentral lists this ribosomal RNA (550 nucleotides) under Cyrtograpsus angulatus. RNAcentral's name for it is "partial 16S ribosomal RNA". It matches the Rfam family "Bacterial large subunit ribosomal RNA", at positions 1831 to 2625 of the family's 2925-position model. Lineage: Eukaryota; Metazoa; Arthropoda; Malacostraca; Decapoda; Varunidae. The record is from RNAcentral.
GUCUAUUUGGAGUUAUAAAAAGUUUAGCCUGCCCACUGAUAAAUAAUAUUUGAAUGGCCGCGGUAUUUUGACCGUGCAAAGGUAGCAUAAUCGUUAGUUUUUUAAUUGGAAUCUUGUAUGAAUGGUUGGACAAAAGAAAGCCUGUCUUUAUAUUACUUAUCGAAUUUAACUUUUAAGUGAAAAGGCUUAAAUAUAUUGAAGGGACGAUAAGACCCUAGAAAGCUUAAUAUUAAAAUACUAUUUAGUUAAUUUUUUUAUAAAAACAUAAUAGUUGAAUUUAUUUUAUUGGGGCGAUAAAAGUAAAAUGAUUUCUAACUGCUUAAUUAUAAAUACAUUCAUAAAUGAUUGGGAAAUUAAAUGAUCCUAAUUAAAGAUUAAAAGUUUAAGUUACUUUAGGGAUAACAGCGUUAUUUUUUUUAAGAGUACUUAUCGAAAAAAAAGUUUGCGACCUCGAUGUUGAAUUAAAAUGUCUUUAUAAUUGUAGCAGUUAUAAAAGUAGGUCUGUUCGACCUUUAAAAUUUUACAUGAUUUGAGUUCAAACCGGCGUAAG